CAGGCAGCUUUUCUGGCACAAAUCCAUUCUGUUUACUGAUGUCUAUCUUGUUAAAUAUGCUUCCCAUCAAAUUGGGAGACCAUCACUUGUCCUUUUAGAGAAGAAAAGCUACAUCGUUAGGAGCAGUGGUGAUGAGGGCCCACCAUCCUGCAAAGCGAGGAAUACAGAGAGGACGCGAGGAGGCGUGCUGUAUGUCCACAUGGCACAGCCAUGUGAUUCGGGAAGAGGAGACCAAAUGGUUUCGAGUCUUAAUCCCCGUGGACCUGAGCCACCAGGGCUCACCGGUCUCAUGACAAAAGCCUGGGAAAGCAAAGUCACGCAAGCUUAUAUAGGAGCAGCUGCCAUUCAGCACAUAUUCAGCAACUGUCAUUAGAGGUAACGUGCAUACAAACCGGUUUUCUAAGACAAGUUUCCAAUAUUUUCUCAUUGUGACUUUCCACAUCAGGGCUGUCCACAUCACCCACCUCAGACAAAGGGAAAACGAAUAUGAUGGCCAUCCUCGCCCUUCCUUUUGGUGGGAAGAAGUCAAUAGAAGAUCCAACAAUAAUGAGAGUAAUAACUGUUA
Neofelis nebulosa (Clouded leopard) is the source of this 565-nucleotide long non-coding RNA. RefSeq lists it as uncharacterized. The transcript is spliced from 2 exons. NCBI's taxonomy places the organism in Eukaryota, Metazoa, Chordata, Mammalia, Carnivora, Felidae. The record is from RefSeq and is a predicted model, not a curated record.